GUGCCCUACUCAGAAAGGUGACAGUCACUCAGAUUACAUGUCACUGUUUCCUUUCUGAGUAGAAUAAGACUUA
RNAcentral lists this microRNA precursor (73 nucleotides) under Saimiri boliviensis boliviensis (Bolivian squirrel monkey). The record is from RNAcentral. Lineage: Eukaryota; Metazoa; Chordata; Mammalia; Primates; Cebidae.